CCGCCAAAGACGGUAACAGCCCGGUAGUUGAAAUGGCUUUCCCUCCAGAGUGGAUCCUGAGUACGGCGGAACACGUGAAAUUCCGUCGGAAUCCGGGAGGACCAUCUCCCAAGGCUAAAUACUCCCUAGUGACCGAUAGUGAACCAGUACCGUGAGGGAAAGGUGAAAAGCACCCCGGAAGGGGAGUGAAACAGUUCCUGAAACCGUGUGCCUACAAGUAGUUAGAGCCCGUUAAUGGGUGAUAGCGUGCCUUUUGUAGAAUGAACCGGCGAGUUACGAUUUGUUGCAAGGUUAAGCGGAAAAAGCGGAGCCGUAGCGAAAGCGAGUCUGAAUAGGGCGCAUAAGUAACAGGUCGUAGACCCGAAACCAGGUGAUCUACCCAUGUCCAGGAUGAAGGUAAGGUAAUACUUACUGGAGGUCCGAACCCACGCACGUUGAAAAGUGCGGGGAUGAGGUGUGGGUAGCGGAGAAAUUCCAAUCGAACUUGGAGAUAGCUGGUUCUCUCCGAAAUAGCUUUAGGGCUAGCCUCGAGGUAAAGAGUCAUGGAGGUAGAGCACUGUUUGGACUAGGGGCCCUUCUCGGGUUACCGAAUUCAGAUAAACUCCGAAUGCCAUGUACUUAUACUCGGGAGUCAGACUGCGAGUGAUAAGAUCCGUAGUCGAAAGGGAAACAGCCCAGACCACCAGUUAAGGUCCCCAAAUAUAUGUUAAGUGGAAAAGGAUGUGGGGUUGCUUAGACAACCAGGAUGUUGGCUUAGAAGCAGCCACCAUUGAAAGAGUGCGUAAUAGCUCACUGGUCGAGUGACCCCGCGCCGAAAAUGUACCGGGGCUAAACAUAUUACCGAAACUGUGGAUGAACCUCUUUAGAGGUUCGUGGUAGGAGAGCGUUCUAAGGGCGGUGAAGUCAGACCGGAAGGACUGGUGGAGCGCUUAGAAGUGAGAAUGCCGGUAUGAGUAGCGAAAGAAGGGUGAGAAUCCCUUCCACCGAAUAUCUAAGGUUUCCUGAGGAAGGCUCGUCCGCUCAGGGUUAGUCGGGACCUAAGCCGAGGCCGAUAGGCGUAGGCGAUGGACAACAGGUAGAGAUUCCUGUACCAGUGCUAAUUGUUUAACCGAUGGGGUGACACAGAAGGAUAGGGAAUCGCACGAAUGGAAAUGUGCGUCCAAGCAGUGAGUGUGAGAAGUAGGCAAAUCCGCUUCUCGCGAAGCAUGAGCUGUGAUGGGGAAGGAAAUUAAGUACGGAAGUUCCUGAUUUCACGCUGUCAAGAAAAGCCUCUAGGAAGAGUAGUACUGCCCGUACCGCAAACCGACACAGGUAGAUGAGGAGAGAAUCCUAAGGUGAGCGAGAGAACUCUCGUUAAGGAACUCGGCAAAAUGACCCCGUAACUUCGGGAGAAGGGGUGCUCUAUUAGGGUGCAAGCCCGAGAGAGCCGCAGUGAAUAGGCCCAGGCGACUGUUUAGCAAAAACACAGGUCUCUGCAAAACCGUAAGGUGACGUAUAGGGGCUGACGCCUGCCCGGUGCUGGAAGGUUAAGAGGAGUGCUUAGCUUCGGCGAAGGUACGAAUUGAAGCCCCAGUAAACGGCGGCCGUAACUAUAACGGUCCUAAGGUAGCGAAAUUCCUUGUCGGGUAAGUUCCGACCCGCACGAAAGGCGCAACGAUCUGGGCACUGUCUCAACGAGAGACUCGGUGAAAUUAUAGUACCUGUGAAGAUGCAGGUUACCCGCGACAGGACGGAAAGACCCCGUGGAGCUUUACUGCAACCUGAUAUGGAAUGUUUGUACCGCUUGUACAGGAUAGGUAGGAGCCGAAGAGACGUGUGCGCUAGCAUACGAGGAGGCAAUGGUGGGAUACUACCCUGGCUGUAUGACCAUUCUAACCCGCCACGCUUAGCGCGUGGGGAGACAGUGUCAGGUGGGCAGUUUGACUGGGGCGGUCGCCUCCUAAAGAGUAACGGAGGCGCCCAAAGGUUCCCUCAGAAUGGAUGGAAAUCAUUCGCAGAGUGUAAAGGCACAAGGGAGCUUGACUGCGAGACUGACAAGUCGAGCAGGGACGAAAGUCGGGCUUAGUGAUCCGGUGGUUCCGCAUGGAAGGGCCAUCGCUCAACGGAUAAAAGCUACCCCGGGGAUAACAGGCUUAUCUCCCCCAAGAGUCCACAUCGACGGGGAGGUUUGGCACCUCGAUGUCGGCUCGUCGCAUCCUGGGGCUGUAGUCGGUCCCAAGGGUUGGGCUGUUCGCCCAUUAAAGCGGCACGCGAGCUGGGUUCAGAACGUCGUGAGACAGUUCGGUCCCUAUCCGUCGCGGGCGCAGGAAAUUUGAGAGGAGCUGUCCUUAGUACGAGAGGACCGGGAUGGACACACCGCUGGUGUACCAGUUGUUCCGCCAGGAGCAUCGCUGGGUAGCUAUGUGUGGCAGGGAUAAACGCUGAAAGCAUCUAAGCGUGAAGCCCCCCUCAAGAUGAGAUUUCCCAUUUCUUCGGAAAGUAAGAUCCCUGAAAGAUGAUCAGGUAGAUAGGUUUGGAGUGGAAGUGUAGCGAUACAUGGAGCGGACAAAUACUAAUCGAUCGAGGACUUAACCAAAA
RNAcentral lists this ribosomal RNA (2577 nucleotides) under Listeria monocytogenes. RNAcentral's name for it is "partial 23S ribosomal RNA". It matches the Rfam family "Bacterial large subunit ribosomal RNA", at positions 352 to 2925 of the family's 2925-position model. Lineage: Bacteria; Bacillati; Bacillota; Bacilli; Caryophanales; Listeriaceae. The record is from RNAcentral.